CCUACGGGAGGCAGCAGUGGGGGAUAUUGCACAAUGGGGGAAACCCUGAUGCAGCGACGCCGCGUGGGUGAAGAAGUAUUUCGGUAUGUAAAGCCCUAUCAGCAGGGAAGAAAGAAGACGGUACCUGACUAAGAAGCCCCGGCUAACUACGUGCCAGCAGCCGCGGUAAUACGUAGGGGGCGAGCGUUAUCCGGAUUCACUGGGUGUAAAGGGAGCGUAGACGGCCGUGCAAGCCAGGAGUGAAAGCCCGGGGCCCAACCCCGGGACUGCUCUUGGAACUGUGCGGCUGGAGUGCGGGAGGGGCAGGCGGAAUUCCUGGUGUAGCGGUGAAAUGCGUAGAUAUCAGGAGGAACACCGGCGGCGAAGGCGGCCUGCUGGACCGCGACUGACGUUGAGGCUCGAAAGCGUGGGGAGCGAACAGGAGUAGAUACCCGGGUAGUC
RNAcentral lists this ribosomal RNA (441 nucleotides) under uncultured bacterium. RNAcentral's name for it is "partial 16S ribosomal RNA". It matches the Rfam family "Bacterial small subunit ribosomal RNA", at positions 338 to 795 of the family's 1533-position model. The record is from RNAcentral.